This is a non-coding RNA of Prunus mume (Japanese apricot), 902 nucleotides long. NCBI's taxonomy places the organism in Eukaryota, Viridiplantae, Streptophyta, Magnoliopsida, Rosales, Rosaceae. The record is from RefSeq and is a predicted model, not a curated record.
GUCACAAAAGCUCGUCCUGGCAUUGUAGAAUCUGAUCCUCUCUCUCCUUUACCAAUUACCACGUAUAAAUACGACAAAGUCUACUCUCUCACUCUCUCUCGCUCUCUUGCAGUCAGCAGAUCCUACUUUUCAGCCUCCCCAGAAUCAACGCCACCGUCAACACCACCUUGACAUUGCAAUACCACCCACGCAGAAACCCGAGCAGAGAACACAGAGGUUUUGGUUCACUGGUUUCUGGGUGUUCUUUAAUAGGCAGCAGAUCCUUCUUUUCAGCCUCCCCUGAAUCAACACCACCUUGACAUUGCAAUACCGCCCACGCAGACACCCGAGCAUAGAACACAGAGCAAGGAACUCUGCCGUAGGUGACAGCUUUUUUUAAGUCCAAAUAUGAGUCUGGCAUGCCUGGUGUGCCAUAGUGUAGAAAGUCCAUCGCACUCUUUUAGGAGUUACUCUGUUUCAAGUGCAGAAAAUGAGGGAAGAUGUUCUGCCAUUGCCAACUGCUUAGCGAGGAGGCCAUCUUUUCCACUACCAACACAUUCCAACAUUGCAUCAUCCAAAGUAACCCCACAACCAACUCUUCCAAACAGCGGUUCCAUGUCAGGUGCUCCACGGCUAGUUCGAAGCCGGGCUGUGAGAAGGGACAUCGUGCAAGACUGGAACUUUGACGAGGUUGUGAUGGGGCGUUAGAUUUUUUAAAUAUGACUCCAGAGUAGAGGGCUCUUUCCAUGGUAUAGUGCUAGGAGACAAUAAUCUUGCCAUCUAUUUUUGUUAGUUAUGGCUGCAAUUGAACUCACUUUUCCUCUGGAAGAGUUUGUGCAUUUGUAACCAUCUGAGAAAAUCGUCACGUUGUUUAUAAUUUUACCCUUUUGGUAGUCUUUUGCAGAUCAAUCUUAUUUCUCUAA